Molecule: long non-coding RNA, 926 nt
Filed under: Homo sapiens (human)
Lineage: Eukaryota; Metazoa; Chordata; Mammalia; Primates; Hominidae
Description: HSALNT0001529
Source: RNAcentral
GGAACAGUCAUGGCAACUGCCUCAUUGGCUGUUGUCUGGAUUCAGUGGGUGGGCACCGGCAGUGGCUACUCUAGCCCUAGGACAGAGCAUGGCCACCCCCAACACUUGACAUCUUUGGGCAAGAGGCCAGGCUGCUGACUCAGGACAUAGGUCUAGGUGGGCCCAGCUGAGAGAUGCCCCCAUGGCAGUGGGUGAUGCCCCGUGACCCCUCAGUGCCGCUUCCCAGCCUCAGGCCUCCAUCUGCAGAACAGGAAGAGGCCACAGCUCCUCACCUUGGGCCCUGGCUGCACCCUAGGCCCUGGCCUCCUCUGCGCAGCCCCUGAGGGGUGGUGGAGUCCCGAGCUGCCAGCACCUGGCAGGGCGGAGCCUGCAGAGCCUGCAGAGCUGGAGGUCUGCAGUGUGCCCGGAGGGAGGACUGAGGUGUACCUUGGCUGGGGAGUUAGGAAGCUGCCAGAGGAAACAAUGAGGCUAUAAAAAUAGCCCUUUGUUUACCGUAGGUGCACAUCCUUGUGUAUCCUUGUGUGAAAGGGGCUGGCUUGGUGGAGGGGCUGAGCUUCCAGUUGGGGAAGGGACCUGGCGGAGUCAGUAGUGGGGCGGAGUUGGGGGGCCCAUCCACCCCCCCCUGCAGUGCCCAGGUAGCCUCCCCAGGUAGCAUCUGAUGGCCUCACUGGCCUGAGGUGGCCCCUCCAGCCAGGCCUAUGGUGUGGCUGUACCUGUGCUCCCUCAGCAAGGCUCAGCCCCAGCCCCCAGCCCAGAGGCCUGUGGCGGCCCUGCCCACCCUCCCAGGCCCAGCUCGGACUGCCCCUGCCAGCUUGUCCCUUGGGAGUCAGUCCGGGGCUGGUCCUGCAUCCCAGGGUAGAACCCUGCCACGCAGUCUAUAGACUUCUCCGACCGAUUCAGCCCUCCACCCCAUCAGGAGGGCUGAG